UGAUUAUUAAGUAUGCUAAUGUGCAUAAAUAACUUUAUAUGUGUUUCAUUUUAUUUAUUUAUAAAUGCAAAAUUUAAAUACAUAUAUUGAGGUAAGUUGGAUAUAAAAAUGAAUAAUAACAAUGAACAAAGAAGACAUAAAUAUAAGGAGGGGAACAUCAAUGUAGGCUUUAGGAAGCCUCAAUUAAUAUAGAUUCUGAUGGACAUAAAGAAGAUGAGGAAUACUUGGACUCUUUGUUUUGGGUAGAAUUUAGUUGGAAUAGUCAAAAAGAAUAAAGGAAAAUUCAGUGUUGUUUUUAAUGCCCAGGUGAUUCUUUCAUACUGGGUGUAGGGGUAAGUUCAAACCCUUUAGAAACAUGUAGAAUUAUAGAACUUAGAGCUAGAAAGGAUAUUAGAGUUCUAGUUACCUCACUUUUCAAUUAUGGAAUCACACACACACACACACACACACACACACACACACACACACAUACACCACACACCACACACAAACACGUCCCAGCUAAAAUCCACUGAUUCUGCAGAAAACAUUUUAGAUGACAGAAAAAUCAACUUUCUUCUGUGUAACUUUUCACUCAGAAUUAUUGGAUAUCAGAUUUAGAACAUACUUUAGACCCCAUCUUGUCCAUCAUGCUUCCUAAGGAGCAAAUCACAUUAUAGCUUUAUAAUUUUGUUUCUUUUUAAUCAUGAUGUUAAUAUUUAAUUAUGUUUAGACAAAAUAUACGUAUUUGUUAACAGAUGUGUUACUUAAGCUAUUUAAAAGAUGACUGAGUUUUUGACUACCUAACUGAUAUGGAUAAUGGAUAAUGCAAAAUUCUAAAAUAUUUUCCUAAUGAAUUUCUAUUUAUUUACUCAUAUUUCUUCUGUAUUUUCUAAUUAAAUUUGUAUUUUAAACUUCAAUCUCCAUAAAAGAAAUAUGUGCUUUUGCUUUAUAUCUUCAUAUAGAAUUAGCAUUUACUUUGAUUGUUCCAUGCCAAAAAAAAGUUCAGAUUGUGAAGAAAGAAAUCUACCUUGUGAUGUUGGGCUCUCCUCCCUGUUCUCCUCCACUCCAGCUUUUCCUUUGUACAUGCCCAAAAGUCUCUGCAUUGGUUAGCUUGUAAAUUUUCCUGGAAUAAUAGAUGUGGGGACUGGAUCAGUGAAAGUCAGGAUAUAAUGUGGAGGUUUAAACUAAGAAGGAAAAGAUGUCUGUUGAUCUCUUUACCAACUAUCUAUGUAGGAAACUGGAAUGGAAACCAAAGAAUAGAUAAUUGUGGUGAUCAAGCUGAUAAGCCACUGAGGGAAAAUAGUACAAAUUAAAGUUUCAGCAACAGGUGUAAGGCGCAUAGUCUUUAGUCUUACUUUAUUUUUACAAAAGUAAUAAGAUAGCUUAAUUACAUGAUUAGAAUACCUAGAGUCCAGCUGGAAUAGUGUGUUGUUUUCCUUUUUUUUCCUUUCCUGUAUUUUUUUCUUUUAUAGGUGUAUAGAUUGUAAGAUUACUUUGUUAUUUUACUUUAUCUCUCAGUAAUUAUUUAUACACGUAAUAUAUAUUAUGACUGACCUAAGACUUAUCAUAUAUGAUAUAAUUUGAUGAACUAUGUAUUAUAAACUUGUUUUAUUAGGAACUAAACAUUGUUAGGAGCUAAACAUAUUUUACCAAAUUAUACACAUAUUUAUUCAUAUGUAUAUAGACAUUUAAUAUGUUAUGUAAUUAAAAUUUCAGUAGUGGAUCAUUGCCAAAAGAAUUAUAUUGUAAUGAUUUUAUGUUAAAAUUUAUCCUAAGAAACAAUAUGUAUUUUAGCAUAAAUUGUUAAAUGCACACAUAAAUUAGCAUUAUUUAACUUUACUUCUGGCCACUUGCAUAAUCUAUGAUUGAGUGGAUUUCCCCUACUAUUAAUUAGUUGAAUUAGGUGGCAGAGAAGGAGUGUAUCUGAAAAGUUCUUGAAUAGAAAAAACAUACAAAUCACAUAGUAAAUAAGUGAGGAUCAGGAAGAGUAAUAGAAUUAAAGAGUCAGAAGUGGGAGGAAGUAUUCAAAGUAAAGUUAGAAUCAAAAUCUGGAAUCUCAACAAAAGGAUGACAUGGUGUUCACAAGAGACAAAGUUACUAAGUUCCUAGCUAUCAAACUGGUUGAAAUGUCAUUCCAGUUUGCCACAUUCAUUUGGCUUGCUGUGCCUUCUUAAUUUUGACUUUAUAUUACCAGCACCAUCCCAUAUUUUCUGAAAGUUCUUGUAGCUGUACAAUUUCUGUAACUUUUGUCUUCAUUGUUCUCCAGUAAAACUUGAUCUUGUAUAUUUAAAAUAAUUUUAGAUUGUUCUAGAAAUUGGGGAUACACUAAAACCAGAAUAAGCCAUUUAGAUUUAUUCUUUGCUAGUCAUUCUCUACAUCAGCCUGAAAAUAAUCUGGAGCUGGUUAUUUUAUAAUUUUGAGUGCAGGUGAAAGGAAUAGCACCAUAUUCUAGGCUUUUACUACAAUAUGGUUAGCACUUAGCCUGUGUAAAUAUGAUCUAUCCCUUUAGUAAAUCUAACUAGAAACAUUUUCUGGGGACUUUCCAGGAGUGUGGACUUUUUGGAUUCCUGCCCAUGAUAUGAAUUUGGUUUUUCUUUGCUUGAGCUUCCUUCUCCAUUCUCAUUAUGAACACUUGGCUUUUAAUUAUUUCUCUCUUUUUCCUCUUCAGAAUUCUUUGCUUUCCUUGCUUGUAGUUUAAUAAUUUUAAGUCUUUUAAGAUUAAUUAUGUUGAAGGGAACAUACUACACUAUAGUAAAAAAUUGCCCAAUAUUGGGAAAAGACUAUGAGAUCAGUACUCACAAAAUCUGAGUUUGAAUUUUGGCUUUUUUCCUUAACAUUCUAUUGACUUUGGGCAAGUCAUAUCCCUUCUGUGAGCUUCAAUUUCCAAAACUACUAAGUUAGAGCUUUGGAUAGAUUGAUCUUCAUGACCCUUUAUAGAUCAGUCCUAUGUUAAUAAAUAAUUAACAAAAAGUUGCAAAAUUUCUCCUUAAUUGUUAGAUUCCAAGGAGACAGAGGUCUAAAUCAAAGCUGUCCCAGGUUUAGGAACAUCAAGAAGAUUAAAUGUGCUUUGAAAAUUGAAUGAAAUCAUCUUGUCAUCAAUCAUCUCUCAUGACAAUUGGAAAGUCUAUCUUUAGGUCUCUGGGGCAGACACUGCUGCCAACUGUUUUCCUGGGGAUGCUGCUGAGAUGAAAAUUCCAAAUUCCCUGGUCCUCUGGAGGGGAGAAAAAUCAAGAUAUUCUUCUCUUCUUGCCUCCCAGCCCUCAAUGGAUUCCUACUCAGGGGCUUGGUUGGAGGCCUCUAUCACCAAAUUCUGAGAUGCUUAAGAAUCUCUAAAAUUAGCUCACUGUUUAAAAAAAAAAACAUUCACAAGGCAUAACCAAGUGUCUUGACCAAUCCAAAUUAGACUUCUGUCUUACUUAAUUGAGCUUUGUCCAGGCUAUGUUUACACUUAGUUCACCCCAUCAGGUGGAUUUUUCACUCCAGAUGUAUUCUCUACCUGAUAAAGGUAGUAUGUUUUUAGUUACCUUAUAAUGGAUGGAAUGCACUGUUUUAUUGAUGUACUCAAUCAUCUUCACCUUUACAUAUUCAGUGAAGAAAUUAUUAUAAUCUGUAUUUACACAAUAGAAAAGAUGGGAGGGAAAAAAGCACAUUGGUUCUCAGUUUUUAUGGAAAAAAUAUUAAUGAGUUAUGUAUUUUUCCAAAUUAAAAAAUUCAGACACAAACUGGUACAAGAUAAAAGCAAACUGCUACUAUUUUGUGUAUUCGUGUAUGUUUAUAUUUUAAUGAAAUAUAGUUGAAUGCUCUGAAACUCUUUUUGCUUUCAUAUUAAAGUAGAUUUAUGACCUAAAGAUCAUUUGCAUCAGGCAAAUAAAAGAUAAGUAAAGUACAUAUUUAUAUUUUGAUAUCACAAUAUUGGAUGUGUUUUUAGUUGUUUAUUUUGGGCAUAUCUUUCAUAUUUGUAAAAUGAGUGAAAGGAAACAAACAAGCAAAACAUAGUCAUUAUAAAAGUCAUUGCAACAGAAUAUAUCUGACUUACCUAUAGAAGUUAAUUGACAAGGAAGUCACACUUCCCAAGUUAUAGAAUUGUUACUAAUGUAACUAGUUGAUUCUUACAGUAAUGUAUUAAAAUUAUAAUUAUAAAAUUAAUUUUCAAGGGUCUGAACCACCAAAGAUCUUAUACCAUCACUGUUUGGCCUAUAAAUACUGCUUGAUGUUAGGAACUUAAUAACUUUUUCAUCUCAGAUGGAUAUUCUAAAUUAUAGGUAAUAACAUUAGCAGAAAAUUCCACAUGGCCUGAAAUAUAAAAUAUGAUGCCCAAGAAAAGGACAUGUAAAGAUAAAAUUAGAACACAAGAUUAUCUAAUUUCUAUACUGUCUAGAUAUUAGAUUCUCCAAAUUUAACCUUUUUUCCCCUUAAGUUUUGCUAUUUGACAAUGAAACAAAUUUUGUUCUAGUUCUGUAUCACUGACAAUUUAUUUGAUAUUUGAAUUGGAUGACCCAGAGAUUUGUGCACAAUUCUUGCAACAUACUAGGUUUUUAGUAAAUUUUUUGUUAUAUCUAUCACCAACUCCAUACGUUUAUAGUAAGGAUCAAAUGAGAACACAUGUAAAGGUUCUUUACAAACUUUAAAGCAUUAUGUAACUGCUCUUAAAAUUGUUAAAUUUUAUGAUUGCUGUAGAGUUGAAAUUACCUUGACAAGAAUAAAACUGUUUAUUGGAGUCACUUUCGUAGUGUUGGAAAUGUAGAAAUGUUCACAGAAUUGAAAUUUAUUAAAAAACAAAAAAACAA
Molecule: long non-coding RNA, 4769 nt
Organism: Monodelphis domestica (gray short-tailed opossum)
Lineage: Eukaryota; Metazoa; Chordata; Mammalia; Didelphimorphia; Didelphidae
Source: RefSeq, a predicted model, not a curated record